Trichomycterus rosablanca is the source of this 700-nucleotide long non-coding RNA. RefSeq lists it as uncharacterized. The transcript has 3 exons. The record is from RefSeq and is a predicted model, not a curated record. Lineage: Eukaryota; Metazoa; Chordata; Actinopteri; Siluriformes; Trichomycteridae.
UUAUAAUGAAUGUAGCAUGAACCAUUUCAACGGCACACUGUUUAGCUAAUGGAUGUAUAAACAUUACUGGUUAAUCACUCUACACACAGAAGAAACUAAAAGGAGUUAAAGGAGAAGACUGAACACGCUCUACCUUCACCUGCAUCAGUGUACACACACUUUUAUCAGGGAUGGACUGGUCAUCGAGAGAGUCGGGAGUUUUCCCGGUGGGCUGCUCUGUAUGUGGGCCGCUGAGAGAGUGAAAAAUAAAUUCUGUUUUAAACAUUCAAUAAUAAUCCUGAAGUGUGCAUUGGCCAAUCACAGAAAUGUCCCUCCCCCAGGAUAAACCAUAAUCACAACCAAAAGUUCAAAAAAUACAUAGUGAAUGAGUGCGAGAUGGAGAAAGGGUCGAAAAAGCGUAAAGGAGGCGCAGAAAAAGCCUGUGAUAAAAAAAAAGAAGAAGCUGCAAGCAGAUGCAGGAAAGUUCAGGAAACUGGACAACCUGUUUGGCAGUGAGGAACUACAGCACAGCCAAAGAGCAAAAGGAAAAGUUAGUGUUCAGAGCCUCUGCUUCGUCAGUAACGCCGUUUAAAAAGAGAAUGUGGGCCCAUCUCAAAUGUCGCCUAUGCCCUACUUAGGGUUCCUAACUUCCUAACAGUAAAAAACAUUUUUUUAACAGUCACUGAAUGAUUAAUAAGUAGUUAUCUAAGCUACUGUUUGA